This 24-nucleotide non-coding RNA is filed under the name Arabidopsis thaliana (thale cress). The record is from RNAcentral. Lineage: Eukaryota; Viridiplantae; Streptophyta; Magnoliopsida; Brassicales; Brassicaceae.
CUCGAUCUCGUGUUUCUCGAUGCA